This 253-nucleotide ribosomal RNA is filed under the name uncultured bacterium. RNAcentral's name for it is "partial 16S ribosomal RNA". It matches the Rfam family "Bacterial small subunit ribosomal RNA", at positions 524 to 776 of the family's 1533-position model. The record is from RNAcentral.
UACGAGAGGCGCAAACGUUAUUCGGAUUUACUGGGCUUAAGGAGUUCGUAGGCGGCGCAGAAAGUAGGGUGUGAAAGCCCUCGGCUCAACCGAGGAAUUGCGCUCUAAACUACUGUGCUUGAGGGACCUAGAGGUGAGCGGAACUGAUGGUGGAGCGGUGAAAUGCGUUGAUAUCAUCAGGAACACCGGAGGCGAAGGCGGCUCACUGGGGGUCUUCUGACGCUGAGGAACGAGAGCCAGGGGAGCGAACGGG